RNAcentral lists this ribosomal RNA (499 nucleotides) under uncultured bacterium. RNAcentral's name for it is "bacterial SSU rRNA". It matches the Rfam family "Bacterial small subunit ribosomal RNA", at positions 451 to 945 of the family's 1533-position model. The record is from RNAcentral.
GGUGGUUGAACAGACUGCCAGCUGAUAGUAGCAGAAGAGGAAGGGACGGCUAACUCUGUGCCAGCAGCCGCGGUAAUACAGAGGUCCCAAGCGUUGUUCGGAUUCACUGGGCGUAAAGGGUGCGUAGGCGUGGGGUAAGUUUGAGGUGAAAUCUCCGGGCUCAACCCGGAAAUUGCCUUGAAGACUAUCCUGCUAGAGGAUCGGAGGGGAGACUGGAAUUCUCGGUGUAGCAGUGAAAUGCGUAGAUAUCGAGAGGAACACCAGUGGCGAAGGCGAGUCUCUGGACGAUUCCUGACGCUGAGGCACGAAAGCCAGGGGAGCAAACGGGAUUAGAUACCCCGGUAGUCCUGGCCCUAAACGGUGCGCACUUGCUGUGGGCGGAUUCGACCCCGUCCGUGGCGAAGGAAACCCGAUAAGUGCGCCGCCUGGGGAGUACGGUCGCAAGAUUAAAAACUCAAAGAAAUUGACGGGGGCCUGCACAAGCGGUGGAGUAUGUGGC